CUCAGCCUGUUGGGGGCAGAGGCUGUGGAGCAGAAGGCCCAGGAGAUCCUGCAGUUGGAGCAGCGGUUGGCCAAUAUCUCCAUGUCAGAGUAUGAUGAUCUCCGAAGAGACGUCAGUUCCAUGUACAACAAAGUGACUCUGGGGCAGCUGCAGAAGAUCACCCCUCACCUGCGGUGGAAGUGGUUGCUGGACCAGAUCUUCCAGGAGGACUUCUCUGAGGAUGAGGAGGUGGUACUGCUGGCCACAGACUACAUGCAGCAGGUGUCCCAGCUCAUCCGCUCCACACCCCGUAGG
Long non-coding RNA from Nannospalax galili (Upper Galilee mountains blind mole rat), 294 nucleotides. RefSeq lists it as uncharacterized. The record is from RefSeq and is a predicted model, not a curated record. NCBI's taxonomy places the organism in Eukaryota, Metazoa, Chordata, Mammalia, Rodentia, Spalacidae. The transcript is spliced from 3 exons.